This 388-nucleotide ribosomal RNA is filed under the name uncultured bacterium. RNAcentral's name for it is "bacterial SSU rRNA". It matches the Rfam family "Bacterial small subunit ribosomal RNA", at positions 28 to 416 of the family's 1533-position model. The record is from RNAcentral.
GACGAACGCUGGCGGCGUGCUUAACACAUGCAAGUCGAGCGGUAAGGCCCUUUCGGGGGUACACGAGCGGCGAACGGGUGAGUAACACGUGGGUGACCUGCCCUCAGCUCUGGGAUAAGCCUGGGAAACCGGGUCUAAUACUGGAUAUGACUCCAUGACGCAUGCUGUGGGGUGGAAAGCCUUGUGCGGCUGAGGAUGGGCCCGCGGCCUAUCAGCUUGUUGGUGGGGUGAUGGCCUACCAAGGCGACGACGGGUAGCCGGCCUGAGAGGGCGACCGGCCACACUGGGACUGAGACACGGCCCAGACUCCUACGGGAGGCAGCAGUGGGGAAUCUUGGGCAAGUGGGCGCAAGCCUGACCCAGCAAUACCGCGUGAGGGAUGAAGGCC